This 497-nucleotide ribosomal RNA is filed under the name uncultured bacterium. RNAcentral's name for it is "partial 16S ribosomal RNA". It matches the Rfam family "Bacterial small subunit ribosomal RNA", at positions 28 to 507 of the family's 1533-position model. The record is from RNAcentral.
GAUGAACGCUGGCGGCGUGCCUAAUACAUGCAAGUCGAGCGAACGGACGAGAAGCUUGCUUCUCUGAUGUUAGCGGCGGACGGGUGAGUAACACGUGGAUAACCUACCUAUAAGACUGGGAUAACUUCGGGAAACCGGAGCUAAUACCGGAUAAUAUUUUGAACCGCAUGGUUCAAAAGUGAAAGACGGUCUUGCUGUCACUUAUAGAUGGAUCCGCGCUGCAUUAGCUAGUUGGUAAGGUAACGGCUUACCAAGGCAAGGAUGCAUAGCCGACCUGAGAGGGUGAUCGGCCACACUGGAACUGAGACACGGUCCAGACUCCUACGGGAGGCAGCAGUAGGGAAUCUUCCGCAAUGGGCGAAAGCCUGACGGAGCAACGCCGCGUGAGUGAUGAAGGUCUUCGGAUCGUAAAACUCUGUUAUUAGGGAAGAACAUAUGUGUAAGUAACUGUGCACAUCUUGACGGUACCUAAUCAGAAAGCCACGGCUAACUACGUG